UUGUCUUAACAGCACAUUCUUCCUGAGUCAUCUCCCCCACCCCAGUAUGUCUCUACAUCUGUGGCAGAUUUCUGCUUGUCACAGGGACACCAUCAUUAUGUAUUAGGACUUGUCCACCCUUGUGAUAGUGUUUUUGGCUUUACUCUUUUUCAGUGAGCUCUAUUUGAUAUCAUGUAGCUUAGAGCUCGAACAUAUCUUUUAUAGGGGCCAUGCAAUUCAACGAUGAUAUUUGAAUGAAUUUAAAAAGGGAGAUGUCUGGAUGUCCAGAAAAGAAUGCCUCAAAGAGACAACAGCCACAAAGGACAAAACAAGAUGCAGCAAGACAAAGCAGAAGGCCUCAUAUAAAGGCCGGGCAAGGCAACUCAAUAGGAGGAAAAGUCUCAAGAGCAGGCAGAGAGUCAGCGAUACAUACCCUACCAUUGUUAGGAGUCUCACAAAAACUCCAAGGGAAGAAUUUUUGAGAAAUACUUUGCAACCACAUAAUGAAAUAAAGAAGAAAAUGCAUUUCUUUCUAAGGA
Molecule: long non-coding RNA, 518 nt
Organism: Mastomys coucha (southern multimammate mouse)
Lineage: Eukaryota; Metazoa; Chordata; Mammalia; Rodentia; Muridae
Exons: 2
Source: RefSeq, a predicted model, not a curated record